GUAUCUAAUGCCCUUCGGUGGGCAGUUCAGAGAGUCUCUGGAGGGAGGCUGCCACUAGCACACAUGCUUCAGCUGAGCAUCUCUGAUGCAGGGUAAGAGUAGCAGUGAAUAAUUCACAGCACCAAGUGGAGUGCCCAGAGACAUGCCCUGUGAUGACCAGUGAAUUCACGGAGAAAGAAAAUGUGCUGCUGAGUAUUAAACAGAAAGAUCAGAGAGCUGAGUAUCACUACAGCAACAGCACUUGA
RNAcentral lists this long non-coding RNA (245 nucleotides) under Pavo cristatus (Indian peafowl). Its description in RNAcentral is "lncRNA (ENSPSTG00000016526.1)". The record is from RNAcentral. Lineage: Eukaryota; Metazoa; Chordata; Aves; Galliformes; Phasianidae.